RNAcentral lists this long non-coding RNA (510 nucleotides) under Gossypium barbadense (sea-island cotton). Its description in RNAcentral is "long non-coding RNA (GBAR_LNC017700)". Lineage: Eukaryota; Viridiplantae; Streptophyta; Magnoliopsida; Malvales; Malvaceae. The record is from RNAcentral.
CUAAUUAGAGUUUUAAAUCACACAAGCUACAGCGACGAUGAUAUAUUAUUACAGUGAUAUGCAGGACUGUUGCUCAGAAAAGCUUAGAGAAAACCCAGCUAUAUACAGGUUAGAUUUUCCCUAGCAAAAUACUAGUAUUACAGUAUGAAACAAAUAAAUGAAUUUUUUUUUGUCUAAUUAGCCUGUUACAGAUUCUGUCCCAAAAUCAAAACAAGAAACAAGUUGAUUGGGUGGGAAGAACAUCUUACUCUCUUCUUCAUCAUCCAUCUUCCACAGUGAGUCCCAGCAGUAUUCCCAUGAAAAAUUGCAACCUUGUUGACUGUAGUUAUCAGGCAGAGGUUUUAUUAUUGUGUCUUCUUCAGGCAUAUCAAUGUCUUUCCAUAUAUCAUCCAUGGAGUAGCCAUUUCCAUCUUCAAAUUCUGGACUGUUUUUCUUUCCUGCCAUGUCAAGGCCCCCAGUGUCAUAAAAGCUUACAAUAUUUCCAGUACCAGAGGAGGGCAAGGAAUCGAC